This 784-nucleotide long non-coding RNA is filed under the name Hordeum vulgare. RNAcentral describes it as "long non-coding RNA (HVUL_LNC014949)". Lineage: Eukaryota; Viridiplantae; Streptophyta; Magnoliopsida; Poales; Poaceae. The record is from RNAcentral.
UACAUUUUAUUUUAUUGAUUCCAUAGAACCAUUAAACAUAUUUAUGUCUCUGGCCAUAUAGGUCGAUGGCUCAUUUGGCUGUGAUGAAGAACCUGUAAAAUAAGUAGAAACUAGAGCAUCAGGGACAAUAACAUGAGCACCGAAACAAGUAGAGCAGCACUGCAACAUCGAUAUCUCCUCACUAUCUAUCUCUCCCACUCUGCAGCAGCAGCAUGAUCAAGCAACAGUCUAGUGUAGUCUCAGCCAAAUGUCAGCUCACCCUCUCUGCUCUCUCUCACCCUCAACACAAGACAAGCACAGACAUCACCUGGAAGAAGGGGAGAACCAACCUGUAGAGUAGAUCCUUUCCGGAGCGACGACGCGCCUGGUUCGAUUUGCACAAAGUAGAGAUCAAGUUAAUUAAGCAGGUUUGUCCUGCUUGCUCAAUGUCCUGAAAAGUAAUGUGCCUGAAAAACAACCGCACAUAUCAUGACUCCAAGAUGAUAUAUCCUGACCCGGACGUUGCAUAAGAAAAAGGAAAUGUAACGACCUUUUUUUCUUAGCUUAUGAGAGAAGACAGUUAUAAUAGUAGCAUUUAGGUUUCAUCAGUGUGGAGUCAAAAAAGCAGUCACAAGCACAUGACGACCCUACAUCAUAUUUCCACCAUUUUCUAAGAAAACAAUUUUCUACUGUUUUAUCAUUGGUUAUCCUCCGUGCAAUUUUACUAGUUUUCUUGGUCUGAAAGCCUUACCAUCAUUUUCUUCUUGCAGGCGGUAAUGGCAAGAGCAUAUUGUGCAGAGGAAGA